Molecule: ribosomal RNA, 271 nt
Filed under: uncultured prokaryote
Description: partial 16S ribosomal RNA
Rfam family: Bacterial small subunit ribosomal RNA
Source: RNAcentral
UACGGAGGAUGCGAGCGUUAUCCGGAUUUAUUGGGUUUAAAGGGUGCGCAGGCGGGGGAUUAAGUCGGCGGUGAAAUUUUGCAGCUCAACUGUAAAAGUGCCUUCGAAACUGGUUUCCUUGAGUGUAGAUGAAGUAGGCGGAAUUUGUGGUGUAGCGGUGAAAUGCAUAGAUAUCACGAGGAACUCCGAUUGCGCAGGCAGCUUACUAAACUACUACUGACGCUCAGGCACGAAGGCGUGGGGAUCAAACAGGAUUAGAUACCCCUGUAGU